UCCACUGUGCUUCUGAUGACCCGGCCGCCGCCGCCGCCCUGCAACCGCUCCCCGGGACCCCUCAACGCUGACACUGAUGACCCGCGGCGGGGGCGCUGGGCGCGGGGUGCGCAGGCCACUGGCCGCGGGCUCUCGGGCCCGCUCCUGCCGCCGGCUUCUGCUGCUUCCGCGUGCCGUGGACACUGCCAGAAUUUGUCAAAGGUCCUAGGAAGAAAAGGCUCUUUCACCCCUCCCCUCAAUGAACAGAUGGCGUGUUUGGACUGUUCGCAUUCGCUCCUCAUAGGGACAAAUGAAUCUCUUCCCACGCCAUGGGAUUUCCCUUGAUUUUUAUAUUGGGAGUGAAAAGAUGAAGCAUGAGACUCUUCAGCUGCAUCUCGAACUGCAUCUAAUCCCAGCACAUCUCUCUCAAUCUUUGAUUAAGUCUGUUCAUCUAAAAGAGAGACACAGGGGAAAAAUGGAAAUGGGACUUUGGAAGAAUGACCAUCCACAUUCCCAUCACAGCCUGAGAUUUCCUACCUGAUUGAGAUUUUCAGUAGAUGGCCCUAGGUCUAGUUUCCCACUUUGGACCUGCUGCCCUUGGCUCCAAUAGAGGACUUCCAAGUAACUAGGAAGAUUUCACCUCUCUUUUGAAACAUAAUGGACAAAUGUGUUUCUUUAGGAUGAGAGGUGCACCUGGCUAGUCAAUCUUUAUUUUCCUAAAAUAAACAGGAUGAAAACUCAAAACAAAAAGAAAUACCUCAUGGGCAAAAGCUCUCCCAAUACAACUAAUACAGACACUCAACAUGGCUUUGUAGAAACUGACCCCUCUCCCAAGUCUUAUGUUUGUCAGAAUUGCAUGCCUAUUUCAAUCGAAGAAAAGUGAUCUGAUCUCUUCAGAUGAAGGUGGGACUUGGAGAUGCUGCUGCCUAGAGUUAACUUGCCAGAGAAAGGAUAAGCAUUCGGGAAGUGCCAGGAUGGGGUAUCAGCUGAACAAUGGCAGGAUCCCUUCUGCCAGUGGGCUGGCUCAGGGAGUAAACCUCCCCGGAAGGAAUUUUGUUUCUCUCUAGAAUCAAAGUGGGCAAAAUGAUCACCUUAUUCGCCUGGAGUGAACCAGGUUGAAACUGAGAAGGCAGACAUGGGUGAUAAGCCAGAUGAAGUCAUAUGUUAUAACUAAGCUAUGUACCUGUAACUUGCCUGGUAGUUUUUUCAUUCUCUCUAAACAGGUCAUAAUAAGUGUUAGUCUGUGAUCCACUAUGGAGAGAGAUUUCUGGAAAGAAUAGAGGCAGUGGUAGAGGGUCCAAGGUUGUUAUUUAAGGAGAUGAAUGUGGGUCAGGUGCCGUGGCUCACACCUGUAAUCCCAGCAUUUUGGGAGGCAGAGGCAGGAGGAUUGCUUAAGGCCAGAGUUCAAGACCAAACUGGCCAAUAUAGUGAGAUCCCCCCCCCAUCUCUACAAAAGAUAGAAAAACUUAGCCAGGCAUGGUGGCAGGUGCUAUAGUCCCUGCCACCAUGGGACUACAGCUCCUGCAGUCCCAGCUACUCAGGAGUUGAGGCGGAAGGAUUGCUUGAGCCCAGAAGUUCGAGGUUGCAGUGAGCCAUGAUCAUGCCACUGCACUCCUCCGUGGGUGACAGAGCGAGACCUGACUCAAUAAUAAUAAUAUUAAUAAUAAUGAUAAUGCAACACAAACUAUCUUUUACCUCUUGAACAAUGAAUGCAGAUGCCAUGACUACAUCUGUUUGUUGGGGACCAGGGAGGCUGCCAGUGAGGAUUCAGGGUGGAAGUAGUGUGUACCCAAUACCUAUUGUGAGAUGUGGCCUGGGGAGCCCUGAGAUUGCCUGGCCAGGCUCACUCACUACCCAGACACCCUCUUCCUGCAUGGCGAGUCCCUCAGCCCCUCCAAGGCUCAAUUCUCAGACAUCGGAGUAAUCCACAUCCUCCAUCUUGAGUUACUCCUCACAAGGCCUGCAAGUUUUCCUAGGAGGAAGGGAAGACAGGGUUGAACCCACACAAUUCUAGAAUCUAGAAUUUGGAGGAUUUCUAAACCAUUUCUGUAAGUCAGCCCUUGAGAACUUGUAGAUUUUCUCAUCAUUUGCAGCAUGAGAGUCUGGAGUAGACUGUUUGGAUUUGACUCUUGGUUCCUUGGGCAAGUUACUUAACCUCUCAGCUGUGUGUCAGUUUCCUUAUCUAAAAAGUGUGGUUAAUAAUAACUGACCUCUCAGAGGUAUUGUGAGGUUACUGUGAUGAUUAAAUUAGUUGAUUCAUAUAAAAAAAAAAAAAAA
Molecule: long non-coding RNA, 2256 nt
Filed under: Homo sapiens (human)
Lineage: Eukaryota; Metazoa; Chordata; Mammalia; Primates; Hominidae
Description: long independently transcribed non-coding RNA 900 (LINC00900)
Source: RNAcentral